AAUUUGUUUUAAUCGGCACAUUUAAUUUGGGUGCAGCAAUCAGGAUAAGGCUUACUAUAAUCGGGUGGCUGCUCAAUGCAACCAUGUCGUAGCAGAUAGCGGUCACAGCUGUCGCAAAGAGUGCAGUUAACAGAGUAAACGCGAAGAGAUCUAGUUGAAAUGACACAGAAAGUCAGCUGCUCAAAUUAGGACUAUAUGUUCACGACCGGUGCAAGUAUAGAAAUGUCGGCGGUGCCGCUGCGCUUGCGAAGGAGUUGCGAGUGUUACUAAAUUUCGUUGUGUAAAUUUUGAUGAUCCUUUCCAGUGCAUGACUAAUAAUCGGCGCUUAAUUGGCAUGGGGAUUAUCAUAACAAUGAAUUGAGAGGCGUUCUUGGCGCGUCUGAUGAGGCUUGCGAGUUACGACGCCGACGUCGACUGAGACGGCUUCAAGUUCAAACUGCGUGAUAUUAUUUAUUCCAAUAUUCAAUAUUGUGUUGAAAAUAACUCUUAUUUGCUGCCGAAUAGUUUUGUAGACAUGUAAUCAAAACAAAAAUAUAUUUUAUUAGUUGGA
Bactrocera oleae (olive fruit fly) is the source of this 550-nucleotide long non-coding RNA. RefSeq lists it as uncharacterized. The record is from RefSeq and is a predicted model, not a curated record. NCBI's taxonomy places the organism in Eukaryota, Metazoa, Arthropoda, Insecta, Diptera, Tephritidae.